UGCCAGCCGCCGCGGUAAUACGGAGGGUGCAAGCGUUAAUCGGAAUUACUGGGCGUAAAGCGCGCGUAGGCGGCUUUUUAAGUCGGAUGUGAAAGCCCCGGGCUCAACCUGGGAACUGCAUCCGAUACUGGAAGGCUAGAGUGCGAGAGAGGGAGGUAGAAUUCCAUGUGUAGCGGUGAAAUGCGUAGAUAUAUGGAGGAAUACCAGUGGCGAAGGCGGCCUCCUGGCUCGACACUGACGCUGAGGUGCGAAAGCGUGGGGAGCAAACAGGAUUAGAUA
Molecule: ribosomal RNA, 279 nt
Filed under: uncultured bacterium
Lineage: Bacteria
Description: partial 16S ribosomal RNA
Rfam family: Bacterial small subunit ribosomal RNA
Source: RNAcentral